UGGGGAAUAUUGCACAAUGGGGGAAACCCUGAUGCAGCGACGCCGCGUGAGUGAAGAAGUAUUUCGGUAUGUAAAGCUCUAUCAGCAGGGAAGAAAGUGACGGUACCUGACUAAGAAGCCCCGGCUAACUACGUGCCAGCAGCCGCGGUAAUACGUAGGGGGCAAGCGUUAUCCGGAUUUACUGGGUGUAAAGGGAGCGUAGACGGAGGAGCAAGUCUGAAGUGAAAGCCCGCGGCUCAACUGCGGGACUGCUUUGGAAACUGUUCAUCUAGAGUGUCGGAGAGGUAAGUGGAAUUCCUAGUG
RNAcentral lists this ribosomal RNA (303 nucleotides) under uncultured bacterium. RNAcentral's name for it is "bacterial SSU rRNA". It matches the Rfam family "Bacterial small subunit ribosomal RNA", at positions 355 to 675 of the family's 1533-position model. The record is from RNAcentral.